Molecule: non-coding RNA, 62 nt
Filed under: Dehalococcoidia bacterium
Lineage: Bacteria; Bacillati; Chloroflexota; Dehalococcoidia
Source: RNAcentral
GGCCGAAACCCCGGACUAGCCGGGGUCGCCGGGUGAAGCCCGGCCUGAUGAGGCAAGGAAAG